Cordylochernes scorpioides is the source of this 75-nucleotide non-coding RNA. NCBI's taxonomy places the organism in Eukaryota, Metazoa, Arthropoda, Arachnida, Pseudoscorpiones, Chernetidae. The record is from the annotation of a GenBank genome assembly.
UGUCUUUGGAUGGGAAUCGAACCCACAAUGUUCCGCUUACCGGGCAGAUGCCAUGUCCACUAGGCUAGCCUGGAC